GAAUAGGUUCUUUUAAGAACCAAGAAAUCUGCCGGAAAAGAAACAU
Molecule: non-coding RNA, 46 nt
Organism: Macleaya cordata
Lineage: Eukaryota; Viridiplantae; Streptophyta; Magnoliopsida; Ranunculales; Papaveraceae
Source: Rfam